Molecule: ribosomal RNA, 253 nt
Filed under: uncultured bacterium
Lineage: Bacteria
Description: partial 16S ribosomal RNA
Rfam family: Bacterial small subunit ribosomal RNA
Source: RNAcentral
UACGUAGGGUGCGAGCGUUGUCCGGAAUUAUUGGGCGUAAAGAGCUUGUAGGCGGUUUGUCGCGUCUGCUGUGAAAAUCCGGGGCUCAACCCCGGACUUGCAGUGGGUACGGGCAGACUAGAGUGUGGUAGGGGAGACUGGAAUUCCUGGUGUAGCGGUGGAAUGCGCAGAUAUCAGGAGGAACACCGAUGGCGAAGGCGCCACUCUGGGCCGAAACUGACGCUGAGGAGCGAAAGCGUGGGUAGCAAACAGG